This 1202-nucleotide ribosomal RNA is filed under the name uncultured organism. RNAcentral describes it as "bacterial SSU rRNA". It matches the Rfam family "Bacterial small subunit ribosomal RNA", at positions 190 to 1424 of the family's 1533-position model. The record is from RNAcentral.
GAAGGUGAGAGGAAAGGCUUCGGUGCUCGGGGAGGGGCCUGCGGCCCAUCAGCUAGUUGGAGAGGUAACGGCUCCCCAAGGCAAUGACUGGUAGGGGGUGUGAGAGCAUGGCCCCCCACACUGGGACUGAGACACGGUCCAGACUCCUACGGGACGCAGCAGCAGGGAAUAUUGCGCAAUGGACGGAAGUCUGACGCAGCGACGCCGCGUGGAUGACGAAUGCCUUCGGGUUGUAAAAUCCUUUUCCGGGCGAUGAGGAAGGACACUAGCCUGUUGAAUAAGCGUCGGCUAACUACGUGCCAGCAGCCGCGGUAAGACGUAGGACGCGAGCGUUAUCCGGAUUUACUGGGCGUAAAGCGCCUGCAGGCGGUCAGGUAAGUCGGGUGUGACAGCCCCGUGCUCAACGCGGGGAGGCCAAGCGAUACUGCGUGACUUGAGGGCGGAAGAGGGGAGUGGAAUUCCCGGUGUAGCGGUAAAAUGCGCAGAUAUCGGGAGGAACACCAGUGGCGAAGGCGGCUCCCUGGACCGCACCUGACGCUCAGAGGCGAAAGCUAGGGGAGCGAACAGGAUUAGAGACCCUGGUAGUCCUAGCCCUAAACGCUGGAUGCUAGGUGUAGGGCUGAUGAGGCUCUGUGCCGGAGCGAACGCGAUAAGCAUCCCGCCUGGGAACUACGGCCGCAAGGCUAAAACUCAAACGAAUUGACGGGGACCCGCACAAGCAGCGGAGCGUGUGGUUUAAUUCGAUGCUACACGAAGAACCUUACCUGGGUUUGACAUGUUGGUGGUACCGAACCGAAAGGGGAGGGACCCUUCGGGGAGCCAACACAGGUGCUGCAUGGCUGUCGUCAGCUCGUGCCGUGAGGUGUCGGGUUAAGUCCCGUAACGAGCGCAACCCUUGCUCUUAGUUAUACGUGUCUAAGGGGACUGCCGGCGACAAGCCGGAGGAAGGUGGGGAUGACGUCAAGUCAGCAUGGCCUUGAUAUCCAGGGCUACACACACGCUACAAUGGCCGGUACAAAGGGCAGCCAAGCCGCGAGGUGGAGCGAAUCCCAGCAAAGCCGGUCCCAGUUCGGAUUGCAGGCUGCAACCCGCCUGCAUGAAGUUGGAGUUGCUAGUAACCGCGCGUCAGCCAUAGUGCGGUGUAUACGUACCCGGGUCUUGUACACACCGCCCGUCACAUCAUGGGAGUUGGCAACGCCUGA